RNAcentral lists this long non-coding RNA (1124 nucleotides) under Chinchilla lanigera (long-tailed chinchilla). RNAcentral's name for it is "lncRNA (ENSCLAG00000026457.1)". The record is from RNAcentral. Lineage: Eukaryota; Metazoa; Chordata; Mammalia; Rodentia; Chinchillidae.
GGAUAAUGCAUUAAAAAGAAGGAGAAAAUCUUUUGAAAUGGAAACACACAUCCCCUUUCUCUUCCUAUUCAGUAAAUUGCUCAAAACAGGGCAUUCAGACGGAAAAUGGAGAAGCAAUCCGGUGCCACUCCCAGAGUCGACGCCCAGAAGAGCCGGCUGGGUCUGCGAGGAGCAACAGAGGAAUCGGUUCACAGGCCGCUGCUGCUGGAAGGUCCCCGGCGCCUCACAGCUUUAAACUGAAAGGUCACUGCUACCCGGAAGUCCUGUAGGAGCUGAAUAACUGUGAGAACCCUGGACAUGCCUGGAUACCACGGUGCGCAGAGUGGCACGCAUCGGGAACGAUGGGUGGCCUCUGGUAGCUAAGCACCUCAGUCCUACAACCACAUGGAACUGAGUCUUUCUGAAGAGCGAGCUAGCAAGAGGACACUCAGCCUCAAAUAUAGCAGCACCAGCUCCUCUCUGCUUUUAGCCUGCCCAGUGGACCCACUUAAUAUCUGUGGAAUUCUGGCCCCAUGGAUGUUGUGACGUAUAUUUGUUUAAAGCUGCUAAGUCCUCUAUAAUUUAUCAUGCAAUGCUAUGAAACUGAUACAUUCAGCAACUACAUUUAAAAGCUUAGUGUGCACUUUAUCAUAUUGUAGAAUUAAUCAACAGAUUAGAGUUCAGCCAGAUUAUGUAACUUGAACAUUUUAACAUUGUAACAUUCUGUUAAACUACUAAUAAAGCCUAAGAGUAUUCUGUUACGUUUUUAGUGCUAUAAGGUUGUACGGAUAUAAUGGCUUAUAUGGUCAGUAUUCAUUUAGAUUUACCUGCACCUUUAUCAUUUUCUUUUCUUUCUAUUUCAUCCCAGCUCUUGUAUGACUCUCAUCUGGAGCACAUUACUUCUUACUAGUGAUUAUACAAGGUAGAAUUUUCUUUUAAUGACAUCAUGCAGAGAAAAACUUGGUUUUUGAUUGCCUAAAAGUAUUUUUCCUGUAUCAUUCUCUCAUUCUUGGAAGAUAUUUUCAUGUUAUAAUAUUUUACAUUAACAUUAUUCCAGCACCCUGAAGAUAAGCAUUCAAUAAUUUCUCAUUUUCAUUGGUUGUGAAAUCAGCUUGAGUGCUGCCUUUUAAUUAUUUAACUUUUAA